Molecule: non-coding RNA, 111 nt
Filed under: Paenibacillus uliginis
Lineage: Bacteria; Bacillati; Bacillota; Bacilli; Caryophanales; Paenibacillaceae
Also listed under: 1 other name
Description: TPP sequence
Rfam family: TPP riboswitch aptamer (THI element)
About the family: Vitamin B(1) in its active form thiamin pyrophosphate (TPP) is an essential coenzyme that is synthesised by coupling of pyrimidine and thiazole moieties in bacteria.
Source: RNAcentral
UCAUAAGAACCGGGGUGCUGGAAUUGGCCGGCUGAGAUUGUAUACCUUAACAUACUGACCCUUAUACCUGAUCUGGGUAAUGCCAGCGUAGGAAUGUGUAUUUAGUGGUCU